Molecule: ribosomal RNA, 521 nt
Filed under: Salmonella enterica subsp. enterica serovar Derby
Lineage: Bacteria; Pseudomonadati; Pseudomonadota; Gammaproteobacteria; Enterobacterales; Enterobacteriaceae
Description: partial 23S ribosomal RNA
Rfam family: Bacterial large subunit ribosomal RNA
Source: RNAcentral
ACCAGGAUGUUGGCUUAGAAGCAGCCACCAUUGAAAGAGUGCGUAAUAGCUCACUGGUCGAGUGACUCUGCGCCGAAAAUGUAACGGGGCUAAACACACCACCGAAGCUAUGGCUAGAUACGUAUGUAUCUGGGGUAGGGGAGCGUUGUAUGUGGGUUGAAGGUGUACCGUAAGGAGCGCUGGACAGCAUACAAGUGAGAAUGCCGGUAUGAGUAACGAAAAGAUCAGUGAGAAUCUGAUCCGCCGAAAGCCCAAGGUUUCCUGAGGAAGGCUCGUCCGCUCAGGGUAAGUCGGGACCUAAGGCGAGGCCGAAAGGCGUAGGCGAUGGACAACAGGUUGAUAUUCCUGUACCACCUCCUCACCAUUUGAGCAAUGGGGGGACGCAGGAGGAUAGGGCAAGCGCGGUAUUGGAUAUCCGCGUCCAAGCAGUUAGGCUGGGAAAUAGGCAAAGCCGCUUCCCGUAAGGCUGAGCUGUGAUGGCGAGCGAAAUAUAGUAGCGAAGUUCCUGAUUCCACACUGCG